AUGUCCUGCUCCAUCACCUGCAUCCACCAGUGGAGUCACCACACCAGAUGUGUAGUUCUAGUCUGUCUUGUCUGUGUCGGGUUGGCCGAGGAGUCUGAGUUGCUUCGCACUGAGCUUCGUGAUUGCCUUGCGCAAGUUGGGAGUGUAUUGGAGAGAGCGGAGGCCGCACUCGCCAAACUAGAGGUUGUGCCAGUUAUGUCUUUGAUGCCUUCAAUGCCUGAGCCGAUUGAGUCUUCAGUUGGGGAGGAAGCAAGCCUGUAUGGACACCUCUCCCCUCGUGCUACAUCACGUCUGUCGUCGAGGCAUGUGUUGCAGACUGCCUCUAGGAGUGCAUUCAUCGGCGAGGUCGUGACUCCAGUGCUGCAGAUUAUGCCUGAGCUGCGGGAGCGUUGUGGCGAGCCGACCUCACCUCUUUCAAUGGUGCUUCCAAAGGAGAUGGGGCAGGUGAUGUCUAUGGGUGACGAGGUUGAUGAGGUAGGUGCUUUGGCACCUAAUUUCGAGGCGCGACUACAGGGUUCGCCUUUGCCAUGUGGGUAA
This 537-nucleotide ribosomal RNA is filed under the name Triticum aestivum (bread wheat). Its description in RNAcentral is "partial small subunit ribosomal RNA". The record is from RNAcentral. Lineage: Eukaryota; Viridiplantae; Streptophyta; Magnoliopsida; Poales; Poaceae.